This 216-nucleotide long non-coding RNA is filed under the name Arachis ipaensis. RNAcentral describes it as "long non-coding RNA (AIPA_LNC001051)". Lineage: Eukaryota; Viridiplantae; Streptophyta; Magnoliopsida; Fabales; Fabaceae. The record is from RNAcentral.
CUCAAAGUCUUCUUUCACCUUUGCACGAUACCUCUCUUUUCUGACUUUGGCGUGACUUUGGCGUUCUCCUCUUUGUCUUUGCUUUCACCUCUCUCUGUUGCUCCUCUGCUCCACCGACGUGAUUUCUUUAUUUUUUGCUUUUUCUCCGCAUCGUUCCCUCUCUUCUGCCAUCUCUGAGGUCCAUGCCAUGUCUCUUUCUAUCUAUUUUGAUUUCUU